This 460-nucleotide ribosomal RNA is filed under the name uncultured bacterium. Its description in RNAcentral is "partial 16S ribosomal RNA". It matches the Rfam family "Bacterial small subunit ribosomal RNA", at positions 338 to 795 of the family's 1533-position model. The record is from RNAcentral.
CCUACGGGAGGCAGCAGUGAGGAAUAUUGGUCAAUGGACGAGAGUCUGAACCAGCCAAGUAGCGUGAAGGAUGACUGCGCUAUGGGUUGUAAACUUCUUUUAUAUGGGAAUAAAGUGUUCCACGUGUGGGAGUUUGUAUGUACCAUAUGAAUAAGGAUCGGCUAACUCCGUGCCAGCAGCCGCGGUAAUACGGCGGAUCCGAGCGUUAUCCGGAUUUAUUGGGUUUAAAGGGAGCGUAGGUGGGUUGGUAAGUCAGUUGUGAAAGUUUGGGGCUCAACCGUAACAUUGCAGUUGAAACUGGCAUUCUUGAGUACGGGAGAGGUGGGCGGAAUUCGUGGUGUAGCGGUGAAAUGCUUAGAUAUCACGAAGAACUCCGAUUGCGAAGGCAGCUCACUGGACUGCAACUGACACUGAGGCUCGAAAGUGUGGGUAUCAAACAGGAUUAGAUACCCGAGUAGUC